RNAcentral lists this ribosomal RNA (270 nucleotides) under uncultured archaeon. RNAcentral's name for it is "partial 16S ribosomal RNA". It matches the Rfam family "Archaeal small subunit ribosomal RNA", at positions 477 to 747 of the family's 1478-position model. The record is from RNAcentral.
CUGCAGCCCGAGUGGUGAUCGAUUUUAUUGAGCCUAAAGCGUCCGUAGCCGGACUAGUAAACCCUUGGGUAAAUUGGGCAGCUUAACUGUCCAAAUUCCGAGGGGACUGCUAGUCUUGGGACCGGGAGAGGUCAGAGGUACUCAAGGGGUAGGGGCUAAAUCCUGUAAUCCUUUGGGGACCACCAGUGGCGAAGGCGUCUGACUAGAACGGAUCCGACGGUAGGGGACGAAACCCUGGGGCGCGAACCGGAUUAGAUACCCGAGUAGUCC